UGGGCUUGACAUGCACGGAUUAACUCCCUGAAAGGGGAGCCACGCCCGCAAGGGUGGAACGUGCACAGGUGCUGCAUGGCUGUCGUCAGCUCGUGCUGUGAAGUGUCGGGUUAAGUCCCUUAACGAGCGAAACCCCUGCCGUUAGUUGCUAACGCGUCAUGGCGAGGACUCUAGCGGGACUGCCGGUGUCAAACCGGAGGAAGGUGGGGAUGACGUGUAGGAGCUCGAC
RNAcentral lists this unclassified non-coding RNA (229 nucleotides) under uncultured Phycisphaeraceae bacterium. Its description in RNAcentral is "contains 16S-23S intergenic spacer region". It matches the Rfam family "Bacterial small subunit ribosomal RNA", at positions 976 to 1199 of the family's 1533-position model. The record is from RNAcentral. Lineage: Bacteria; Pseudomonadati; Planctomycetota; Phycisphaerae; Phycisphaerales; Phycisphaeraceae.